Molecule: ribosomal RNA, 452 nt
Filed under: uncultured bacterium
Lineage: Bacteria
Description: bacterial SSU rRNA
Rfam family: Bacterial small subunit ribosomal RNA
Source: RNAcentral
UACGGAAGGCAGCAGUGGGGAAUAUUGCACAAUGGGCGCAAGCCUGAUGCAGCCAUGCCGCGUGUAUGAAGAAGGCCUUCGGGUUGUAAAGUACUUUCAGUCGUGAGGAAGGUGUUAAGGUUAAUAACCUUAGCAAUUGACGUUAGCGACAGAAGAAGCACCGGCUAACUCCGUGCCAGCAGCCGCGGUAAUACGGAGGGUGCGAGCGUUAAUCGGAAUUACUGGGCGUAAAGGGCACGCAGGCGGUUAAUUAAGUUGGAUGUGAAAUCCCCGGGCUUAACCUGGGAAUGGCAUUCAAGACUGGUUAGCUAGAGUCUUGUAGAGGGGGUAGAAUUCCAUGUGUAGCGGUGAAAUGCGUAGAGAUGUGGAGGAAAUACCGGUGGCGAAGGCGGCCCCUGGACAAAGACUGACGCUCAUGUGCGAAAGCGUGGGGAGCAAACAGGGAUUAGAUA